UGGCACUAAUAGCGUUCUUGAUUGUGCCCACUCGAGCAGGUGAUAAUGACUAACCAUAUUUGCCGUGGUUUGACAAAUUUCUAUGAUGAUUGUUUGAUGUCCAAGUCCAACCAAUAAAGUUGUUUGAUUAUAUCCAUUUUGAAGGUUCUUACUUCACACGGUAAAAUAAUAAUAGUAGUAGUAGAUCACAGGAUUGGAAGUCUUGUAAUAAUUUUUGUCUUUUUAAGGUUCUGGUCAUUCACGAGAAAUUGUGCAGAGACCCAACCCAUUUCAGAAUAGCACUAUACUAUAGUAUAUGCAGCAUCUUGGUUUUACAAGAUACAAACAUUUUUGUCUCAUUCCAUUGCAUUCAGAUCCAUCAAUUACCCAAUUCAGGUUCACCAUCCUCUCUUCACUUGCACCUUCUGAUAUCAAGGCCCUGUCAAAAACUUCAACCGUCCACUCCUCGCUAACAACUGAGUGCACCCAUUUUGCCAAAUCGAACCCGUUAUUUUCGACCAAUUUCCCUGUCAAAAGCUCCAGAAGAAUCACACCGAAGGCAUAGACAUCGACCUUGAAGGUGCUAUAAAGGCGGCUACUCGGAGCAUUCUGUUUGUAGCUAUCAGUUUUCGAUAGCAAUGAUUGAUCUUGGUUUUCAACCACCAUUAGACCAUAUUCACUGAUGCAUGGUUCCAUAUUCUCAUUAAAUAAUAUGUUUGUGGAUUUCAGGUUUCCAUGAGCAAUUCCAUCUUCCCAAAAUUCCUGAUGAAUAAAUGCUAAUGUCUCAGCAAUUAUGGUUGCCACAUUCAGUCUGCUUCCCCAGUCAAAUACCUGACCAUUCUGGGAUCCUGAGAUCAACAAUAGUACAAAAGUGUCACUGUAAAGAGAACAGCAGUCAAGGAUAGUUUAUUUUUUUCAUACUGAGUUAGUCUAAUUAGAGAGUUGUUAGCUGGUUAACUAAUAUGCUACAGUUAAUAGUUUUGUAUAUAUACACUAAUAUAUAAAUAUCUUUUGAAACAGUAAUUACUGAUCCUGAUGAAAUUACAAUUCAAGAGUAUAGGGAGGAUUUAGGGUAUAGGCAUAUACUAUACCAUGAAGAAGUUUGAAGAGGCUGCCAUUCUGCUGAAAUUCAUACACCAAAAGCUUCUCUUCCUUGGAGCAAUAGAAGGCGACUGGAGACAAAAAUCUUGGAUGCUUCACUUGUUGUAUCCUCUGUAUCCUCUUCUUGAAGUCUUCACUAGAAAUGCCCAAGUACUUGAUCCUCUUCACUAUCAGGAUUAUCUCAUCAUUAAGCAAGACCUUGUAGAGGCUCCCAUGCUUUCCUUUUCCAAGCAACUCAGCUGGAGCUCGAAGCAAGUCCUCAAAUUUCAGCUCCUUCACCAAAGAACUUGUAAGAACCACAAGUGCUGAUGAAGGCAUUCCAUUUUCCGCUGAUGUAAUUGAGUACUCCGAUCUGUACUCUGCUCUGUUCCCAGCAGUUCUGGAUUCGCCUAAAGUAGCAUUAGUUUUGUUGCCGGUAUCUGUUGCCACCAUAGGAUCGAUUUUUGCUUCUUUAGACUUCCUAUUACUGAUAAAUUUCAGAGCAAUUAAUAACAGAAUAACCAGGGCAAGAAUUAUAUAGCCCGAGUA
Long non-coding RNA from Ricinus communis (castor bean), 1608 nucleotides. RefSeq lists it as uncharacterized. The transcript has 2 exons. Lineage: Eukaryota; Viridiplantae; Streptophyta; Magnoliopsida; Malpighiales; Euphorbiaceae. The record is from RefSeq and is a predicted model, not a curated record.